UGAGGAAUAUUGGUCAAUGGGCGCUAGCCUGAACCAGCCAUGCCGCGUGCAGGAAGACGGCCCUACGGGUUGUAAACUGCUUUUCUGUGGGAAGAACCGCCCUCAUUCGUUGUGGGUUUGACGGUACCACAGGAACAAGCAUCGGCUAACUCCGUGCCAGCAGCCGCGGUAAUACGGAGGAUGCAAGCGUUAUCCGGAUUCAUUGGGUUUAAAGGGUGCGUAGGCGGUGUAGCAAGUCAGUGGUGAAAGCCCGGAGCUUAACUCCGGGAUUGCCAUUGAAACUGUUGCACUAGAGUGUAGUCGAGGACGGCGGAAUGAGUUGUGUAGCGGUGAAAUGCAUAGAUAUAACUCAGAACACCGAUUGCGAAGGCAGCUGUCUAGGCUAUAACUGACGCUGAGGCACGAAAGCGUGGGGAGCGAACA
This 423-nucleotide ribosomal RNA is filed under the name uncultured bacterium. RNAcentral's name for it is "bacterial SSU rRNA". It matches the Rfam family "Bacterial small subunit ribosomal RNA", at positions 355 to 774 of the family's 1533-position model. The record is from RNAcentral.